RNAcentral lists this ribosomal RNA (200 nucleotides) under uncultured prokaryote. Its description in RNAcentral is "partial 16S ribosomal RNA". It matches the Rfam family "Bacterial small subunit ribosomal RNA", at positions 1183 to 1382 of the family's 1533-position model. The record is from RNAcentral.
CGUCAAGUCCUCAUGGCCCUUAUGGCCAGGGCUUCACACGUAAUACAAUGGUCGGUACAGAGGGUUGCCAAGCCGCGAGGUGGAGCCAAUCCCAGAAAGCCGAUCGUAGUCCGGAUUGUAGUCUGCAACUCGACUACAUGAAGUCGGAAUCGCUAGUAAUCGCGGAUCAGCAUGUCGCGGUGAAUACGUUCCCGGGCCUU